AAGUUAUUUAAGAACCCAUCCUUAUCCUUCUUGGCGAAAAAUGACACCUGGAUCGCAAAUUUUAUCUCAUUAAUAAUCAUUGAAAUACAUCUUAAUCUCAUUAUACUAAUGUAUCGAGAGUGACGGACUUAUUAAUGAUGUAUCGAAUUAACUUGUAACAUACUCUUAAUCAUUGUAUUAAUCAUCAAAAUACCACUAUCAUCCUCAGCCUAGCAUAUCGCAUACCGUACCGUAACGACACUCAGUAUGCGUAUGCUAGUGCGGCACUGGUACGGAGUCCGGUAUCGGUACGACGAACCUUGGUCCACAUAGUAGCAACGUCAGCAGAAUCCAUCCGAACCGGCUGGUUCCGCCAGUUUCGAACCAUACUGGAGCUCACCGGUAUAGUUCCGGCUAU
RNAcentral lists this long non-coding RNA (397 nucleotides) under Phoenix dactylifera (date palm). RNAcentral describes it as "long non-coding RNA (PDAC_LNC022577)". The record is from RNAcentral. Lineage: Eukaryota; Viridiplantae; Streptophyta; Magnoliopsida; Arecales; Arecaceae.